AUGGUUUUAGGAUUGGUUUUAGAUGAUGGAUAUCCGCAAUUUUAACCGCUAUCGUUCGGUGUUCAGGGCGCGGCCGGCCGUAGCAUUGAAAGUUUAUUGAGCAAGCUUUGUAAGAACCUAAGCGUAUGUUUUGAAGAUCACAGGGCAGGCAUCUUUUAAAGCAGAGAAUUUCAAGGAUUUUGCCUUGAAUAUGCGAUGAAGGGACUCCUGACUGUCACCUCGGUUACUAUGACCUUCUGAUUAUAUUAAAUGUUAACGCGGUUGAGAAGUAAAACCAUGGCGCAUUAUUGAGGAAUGGCAUUUUGUUUUUUAAUCAACCGUGAGCGUUUUCAGGCUCUGGAAUAUGGAUGGGACGUUAUGCUACUAGUUCUUGGUUUCACACAGCUCGAGGUUCUAGCCACGUUGCCAAAUAGAAAUAAAUAUUGCUGUUAGUGGAAGUACUCAAGGGAUUUGAUUCGAUCUGUGCGGGAGCAAAACAGAGACAGAGUAUGGAGCAGAUGAGAGAAUUCGGAUACCAUAACUCCUGUUUCAGUCACCCAAAGUUUCAACUAGAUACUUUUCUGGCUUGGGCUGGUAUAUGAAGUGACAUCAGCCACUACCUCAACUCUUACCACGUCAACUGGUUUAACUGGGCUAUGCAGGACAAAGGAAGGCCUCUGAAGGUUACAUCCCCACUAGCUCAUCGGGCCAAGUCGAGAAAAUGAUUAUAGAGGCUAAUAUGUGAUCGGGUGAGGAUUCUAGUAUGUCAAUCCCCUCUACAUGAUGACUCGGAGGGAUCUUAUACUGGCCAGUCUGGCUAUGGCUAUCAGAUGUUUGAGAGAUUCCUCCUACCCGCAUAAGAGAUAGGUGAACGACGGUUCCAAAGUGUGUCGCCUGCCAUUUCGAGCACCUGCUACCUACUGCGUCUACAAUUUUGCAAGUGAGUGCAAUCCUGAACGCAGGAAGAUUGAGUCUGGAUCAGAGGAAAACUGGUUAUAAAUAACUCUCGCUAUGAAACUCUUUAUUUGACUCUUUGUCUAUCUCAACAUAGUUGUUUCAUUACAGAAGAACUUUUAUUCUAGAUAUAUGCAGUAAAAUUGAACUUUUCGCAGUUUUAACUUGGUUUUAGAAGUUGCUUCUC
Symsagittifera roscoffensis is the source of this 1120-nucleotide long non-coding RNA. RefSeq lists it as uncharacterized. Lineage: Eukaryota; Metazoa; Xenacoelomorpha; Acoela; Convolutidae. The transcript is spliced from 4 exons. The record is from RefSeq and is a predicted model, not a curated record.